Molecule: non-coding RNA, 106 nt
Organism: Gossypium arboreum
Lineage: Eukaryota; Viridiplantae; Streptophyta; Magnoliopsida; Malvales; Malvaceae
Source: Rfam
AAUCCAUGGUAUGGGCAUUUUUGAAUCAGCAUCUUAAAACACUCCGAUACUUCAUGAAAAAUUUUCCUCUCUAACUAUUUUAACCUCGAAAUUUCCCUUCUUAGCU